RNAcentral lists this long non-coding RNA (1299 nucleotides) under Homo sapiens (human). Its description in RNAcentral is "PREDICTED lncRNA (TCONS_00101125)". Lineage: Eukaryota; Metazoa; Chordata; Mammalia; Primates; Hominidae. The record is from RNAcentral.
ACUGGAAUUACUGUAUACAUGCGGGACUUAGGAAUCUGUGUUUUGACCAAGAGGCCAGGUGAUUCUUCUGCUCAGUUAGUGCUGGGAAACAGUGCUAAGAAGGAUACAGUGGCUAGAAGUCGUCCUGUCGUCCUGCCUCACAGUAACAUCGUUACCGAAUUCUCAGCAGGUGAACCAAAUGAAAUGGUCAACUGAAAGCCAACCAGGGUAAAACAGAUCUUUUAUUUCUUGUUGUUGUUAUUAUUAUUUUUUUUUAUGUGGGGACAUUCAAGUGAACUGCUAUAUGCAUUUGCCCCCAGUCUCUCCUUGUGAGAAGUGAAUUUCUUCAACGUUUAUAGAACUGAGGUAUUACAUUAUUGGAUGAAUUAAGAAAACAAUCUAACCUGAUGUGUGAAAAUUUCUGCUUGUGAGAAUCCGUGUUAUUUCAAUUAUCCAAUCAAGAGCCUAAUUCGUAUAAAAGAAACACAGCAGCUUGUUGCUCAUCUUUUUAUCUAAGGACGGUUUGUCUUGACAGAGGGUGUCUGGCUGUUUUGGGGAAACUAUUCCUGACCUUAUUUUGACUAAAAAGUUGCCUGCUGUACCAGGGUCUUGUCCUGUCACUCUGGCUGGAAUACAAUGGCGUAAUCAUAGCUCACUGCGGCCUCCAUCUCCUGGGUUCAAGUGAUUCUCCUGCUUCAGCUUCCCAAGUAUCUGGGACUACAGCAAAAAAUCACCAUGUACCAACCUAUCCAAACUUAUCCAUGGAUGAAUCUAUCCAGAAGACGGGAGUUCCGAUGCUUGUCUUGCUCUGAAUGUCUGCUUGUCACCUGCUUAGGGUUAUCGACUGUGAUUCUGGGACUCAUUGUUGUUCUACAGGACCCCUCUGACUCUGUGGUUUUCUCUACUGGAUUAACAAUGAUAGCCAUAGGUGCUUUUUUUGUUGUCCUCACUGGAGUGACAGCCCUGUGUACGGUUACAGUCGACGAGAACUUGCAGAAAACCACGAGGCUAAGACUAGGAGUGAUACGAAAAAGCGGAAGUCUCCAAGGAACUACAGAGCCUUCCAUGACUCACUCAAUAAUCGCUAGCACCUCGCUGUAGUUGUACAUUGAACCCUGGCAUCUUCGUCUUUGGAACUAAGUCUCCUGAGCAUUGUUUUUAAAUAGAAAUAAAAUCUGGCUUUUAAAAAAACUCUUGUAAUCCCAGCAGUUUGGGAGGCCAAGGUGGGUGGAUCACAAGGUCAGGAGUUCGAGACCAGCCUGGCCAACAUGGUGAAACCCCGUCUCUACUAAAAAUGGAAAAAUUAGCCAGGUGUGGUGG